AUGUGUGUACCCAAGAACCAAGGAGGAAUGGGUUUUCGGGAUAUCCAUUGUUUCAAUUUGGCUAUGCUUGCUAAACAGGCUUGGCGUCUUCUCGAGAAUCCGGAUUCUCUAUGUGCUACUAUUUUGAGAGUCAAAUACUAUCCUGAUGGUGACUUGUUGAACACUGACCUUAAGAAGGGAUCUUCCUUCACCUGACAAAGUAUUAUGGCGGGUGUG
RNAcentral lists this ribosomal RNA (216 nucleotides) under Triticum aestivum (bread wheat). RNAcentral describes it as "partial small subunit ribosomal RNA". Lineage: Eukaryota; Viridiplantae; Streptophyta; Magnoliopsida; Poales; Poaceae. The record is from RNAcentral.